Molecule: ribosomal RNA, 208 nt
Filed under: uncultured bacterium
Lineage: Bacteria
Description: partial 16S ribosomal RNA
Rfam family: Bacterial small subunit ribosomal RNA
Source: RNAcentral
ACGCUCGACACCUACGGGAGGCGGCAGUGGGGAAUAUUGCACAAUGGGGGGAACCCUGAUGCAGCGACGCCGCGUGAGUGAAGAAGUACUUCGGUAUGUAAAGCUCUAUCAGCAGGGAAGAAAAUGACGGUACCUGACUAAGAAGCCCCGGCUAACUACGUGCCAACNGCCGCCGGUAAGUACUUGAGGCGGGCCGUGGCGAAGGACG